This 392-nucleotide ribosomal RNA is filed under the name Bryozoa sp. Its description in RNAcentral is "partial small subunit ribosomal RNA". It matches the Rfam family "Eukaryotic small subunit ribosomal RNA", at positions 582 to 975 of the family's 1831-position model. The record is from RNAcentral. Lineage: Eukaryota; Metazoa; Bryozoa.
AUUCCAGCUCCAGCAGCGUAUGUUUAUAUUGCUGCGUUUAAAAAGCUCGUAGUUGGACCGUCGGACACGGGAGGGCGGUCGGCCUAAGCGCCGCACUGCUCGGACCGUACCAAGCGCGGUCGGCACCGUCGUCGGCACUUGACUGUGUGGGCGCGCGGUCCGCCGCAUAUUCACCUUGAAGAAAGUGAACCGCUCAAAGGAGGCGCACUGCUCGAACGAUACAGCAUGGUAUGAUGGAACAAGCGCUCGGGUUGCUUUGUUGGUUGCACGACCACGAGCGAAUGAUUAAGAGGGACUGCCGGGGGCAUUCGUACUCGCGGGGGAGAGGUGAAAUUCAGAGAUCCUGCGAAGACGUCCUACUGCGAAAGCAUUUGCCAAGAAUGUUUUCAUUG